Non-coding RNA from Choloepus didactylus (southern two-toed sloth), 635 nucleotides. Lineage: Eukaryota; Metazoa; Chordata; Mammalia; Pilosa; Megalonychidae. The record is from the annotation of a RefSeq genome assembly.
GGUGGCCUGGUGGAUAAAGUCCCCAAGGCUGCGCUGCCCACCUGUGGGUGUCAGGGGCAGAGCUCUCCACCAUGGCCUGGGCUCCCCUCCUCCUCAUGCUCAUCACUCACUGCACAGGGUCCUGGGCUCAGUCUGCCCUGACUCAGCCUCCCUCAGUGUCUGGGUCCCUGGGACAGACGGUCACCAUCUCCUGUGCUGGAAGCAGCAGUGACAUUGGGGGUUAUAACUAUGUGUCCUGGUACCAACAGCAUCCGGGCACAGCCCCCAAACUCCUCAUUUAUGAGGUCAGUAAACGGCCCUCAGGGAUCCCUGAUCGCUUCUCUGGCUCCAAGUCUGGGAACACAGCCUCCCUGAGGAUCUCUGGGCUUCAGCCUGAGGAUGAGGCAGAUUAUUUCUGUGCAUCACCUUCCAGCAGUGGUACUUUCCACAGUGGUCCAAGUUCAUGGGGAAGUGAGACAAAAACCUCCAUCUUUGAUACCUGCCCUCUCUUUGGUUCAUCAGCAGGGCUGCAGGGGCUUCCACAAUUUAACCCACUCAAAAUGUUGUUGCUCCUUAAAAUGAACUUGAAAACAGAAGCCUUUACUCAGUAUCUUGACUUGGGAAAAUCAAAAUAAAAGAUCCCUCCUUCCUCUGAC